GAUUCCUUCGUUUCUGGGUUUUUGUAUGUUAUGAGAUGGUGCGGUUGUGGAUCGGUGUUAUUUCUGGAUCUUAAUAGAAUGCCUAGGGUAUUGAAUUUUUGUUGUACGAUUUUGUGAUUAUCUGUUCUGAUUGAUGAUUUGUUCCUCAGAUUUGGGAGAUGAAGAUGAUGCAAGCAGGUAUGAUUUUGGGCCCAAUAGAGCGAUCUUCAGGUCAGAAGCAGGCACCUGGAGAUCCUACUCUAUUGCAUGACCUGAAUGUACCGCACGAAGGCACUGAGGAGUGCGAGACUCCCACUGCUGAGAUGCUUUUCACUCCUGUGAGUAAUUGUUUUGAGAGUUUUCUCGUGUCUGUAAUUCGUCGAUUGGACUGGCUGUGUGUAUAGGAUAAUGAGUGAACUUCUAUCGUAAUCCUAGCUGUUUAUGUCAUUGGAUUCAGUUUAUCUACAGGGAAAGAACUUUUACUUGCAUGUUCUGGUAGAGAUAGGUGUGGUAGUGGCUCGAAAUUAUGGAACUAUGAGAUUGGUGAUUGAGCUGUUUGGAUGUUCUCUAAUUUACUUUCACUUGUUGAAUUGUAGACGCCUUUGAAUAAUCUGAUAAGUUGUUUCUGAUAAUGAUGAGUUACCAGCACACUUAGUCAAGGAUUCUUUGCAUACGAAACUUUGAUGCAGCAGUUUCUUCUGCAGCCAAAUAGUUGAAUAUAGUUUCGUGAUAUUCCUGAAUAAUAGUUGAUUGCUCGAUGAUUUUGAGUGUAUUAUUUGUCACUACUGUUCCGAGUGAUUAACCAUUCAUUCAGCUGAGGAUGGGACUUGAAUGUUCUUUCUUAACAAUCAGAUAUUUGUUGUACCCAGAAUCAUAUCAGUUUUUCCUAGACAAAGAUUGUAUCUCAUUCCCGAAACUGUAAAAGAAGAUUAGGAGUGUUGGCAUUUCUUUAACUAUCUAUUAAACUGAUUAUAACUACAGUUAGUCUAGCUAGGUUGUUUUGUCUUUCUGUAUCUGUUACUGCAUUGUGAGUCCCAUUAAUUCCUUGGAACUAUAAGCGUGCUUAUCUUCCAUCACAUAAAAUGGGAUUGUCUAGACUUUGUUUUUGUUUUUGCUUCUGAACUUUACCUCGACUUUACCUCGUUGCAGCAGUAGGUUCUCUUGCUCUCCAGUCUCCACCAUCAGCAGGUUCUCUCAUCCAACAUUAAUGAGUUUGUUUUGUGGCUGUUCUUCACUCGUGAUAGCUAUAGGUCAGGAGCACUAUACCAACAGGUUCUCUCAUCUUUCUCACUCAGUCUCACUCCCGUCUCUCUCAGUCUUCAUCAAAUUCAGGGAUAUAUGCAACCUCUCCUCCGUAGACCCCCCCCUCAUUAUCGAUCCCAUAUCUUCCCUGCCUGAUUUCCAGGAUUCAUAAGCUCCGCCCAUGGCCAGAUUCCGUUUCUCUAUGAUUUCUUAUUUAUAUCUUAGGAUUAUGAGGUGGAGUAGAACAGUUGUUUUCCUUCUUUCUUCACCUACAUCCUCUCUUUGGAAUCCUCUUUCCAGUUCAGUUAGUUUACAUAGUUGGUUAGUCAUGGAAUCCAAUGUACCACUAUAUGAAGUUUGAUCCCUACUUCACAAUCUACAGUUUUAGUGAGGAGAAGCUAAUACACGACAUGCCACCGUUUCUAUGCAUAUACAGGUUGCCUAUUGGUGAGCCAGAUCCAAGACAUGCAAAACAUUGUUAUUGAAGUGAAGGAUUGGAAGCUCUAAGAUGAAUAACCCAAUUGCCACCUUUGUUGUGAUUAAGCUCCAGGUUUACUCUGAUCCAUUGGCCCUUCAAUAUUUUGGGUAUCGUUUUGGUUUAAUGUCUUGCGGGUUGGCUAGACUAGAAUUCCUGGUUAUUAUGGUAUUUGGUUGUUGUACCGUUUGGCUGAUAAAAUUUGGCUCACUGAUUGGUUUUGGAUGGACUUGCUAUGGUUUCCACAUUUGGACUCGUUUCUGGUCAGGAAGACAUGUUCCAUGUGUGCUAGACUAGGACUGUCAUUGGUUUUUGCAUAAAUAUAUCUCCUGCUUAGCAUGUAAAUCAGCUUAUGUAUCCAGAAACUAUUGUCUUACUGGGGUGGAUUGGCAUUUGAGGGAGUCAACCGGAGAAUAGCUAACAUACACAUUUGAUGAUUUAGUAAACGGUUUAGGUGAGGAAGCUAGAAUUCCUGAUUGGUUUGGUUUCCAUAUUGGUUUGACCGUGGUAUCAAGUUUGCUAUUUAUGACAGAAAAAAACGUUUUCAUCUCGCAUUUGUUUGCUGGGUUCGUUUACUGCCUAAUAGAAAACUUAGAGGGAUUUGAUUAUAUUGUAUUUUGCUUGUGAAAUAGCUUGUAUGUGUAGAUUGUGAAAUAGCUUGAUGGUUCAGUUUUGGCAAAACUUCGAUUUGAGUACAAAUCUGAAACUCUAUACAUCUCUCGAAUGCUUGCUUACCAAUUGAAGUUCUGUAUUGCAUAAUUAGACUGAAAUUGUGUGCUUCACUCAUUAAUUGUUUUUUUGUAACUGAUCAAACCAAAGGGAAUACGAUCUUAGCCCACACCAAACAUGGUAGUGCGGCCUUGAGAUCCACUGCCCAACUUCGCCUUUUGUUUUAUUAUUCAAAACAGCAUCAUAAUGUGAUGAUCAAAGAAAUAGGCAAUGAGUAGAGAUGAAAUGCAGGGCACUUGGAAUGGGUUGAGAGUAUUUAGCUUCACUUGCUUUCCCUUGUUUUGUGUUGAUUGUGUGGGGCUUCAGUGGAAUCGAUACAAACUAAAGAGAGCACGUGCCAAGAGACCACCAACCAAUUCCUGAAAAUUACGAUUGGAUGUCAGAAGCACAUAAAAUUGCUAAAACGCUUUCCCAAUACGUGUUGAGCUAGAAUGCAGAAAAAUGAUUUGAGCAAUAUUUUGACAUUAACUGCAGAGACAAAUUGUUUCAGCUUUCUUGCUCAAAGCUAUUUCCGCUUUUGUAUUACUCAAUCAUUCCAUUAGAAGACAAGUCUUAUAUUGAAACCAUAAUUGCAGUGAUCCUAAACUUCCCAACAAACUGUAAUGUCAAAUAGAUUUGUUGAGGUUUGUUUCUUGUUGCUGGAGUCUUAAUAUUAUCCAUGUUAUUUAUGCAUAUACUUGAAUUGUGUUAUUCUGCCUUAGAGGAGGUGAAGCUGCAAAAUGAAUUUUUGUUUCCCUUAUUAGUUUUCCCCUCAUUGGUUACUAAGACAUUAUCAGUAUUUUUAUAGUGACGUCAUACAUGCCUCUCAAUUUUGGAGGAACGAUUAUCUGGUUGCAAAGGGAAAGAUCAGAAAAGAAUAAGCAUGCAGAUGCUGAUGCAUUUGGUUGUUCUUGGGGAAGUAUAGCUAAUAAAUAUGAUCUACUUUGGCGACAACAAAUGAAUAGGUUAGUGAACUUCUUUCAUUAUAAAGGGAGAUGCACGUCUCUGUGUCUGACUCUUGGUUGUGGGAUAAUGUAGGAGGUGACAAUGGCUCGACUUGGUUCAGCAACAGGUGUAUACAAAUUUUUGGUGAAGUAUUUAGUAACAGUUGUAGAGGUACUACCUCUUGACACUGAUAUGGACCAUCAUUAUACAGCCCGACACCUAUGGUUCUCUUUGUUUGUAAUUUUGUUUUACUGUUGUGGAGUAGAAAUGAUGCUUUUAAAAUUUAUGUCUCAGAGUUUUAAUAAUUUCAUGGAGUUCGGGAGGUUGAUUCUCAUGUCUAUGAGACCUGAGAUAUACAGUGUUCACGAUCCUUAUGUUUGGUCUUGCUGUGUUUUUAAGAAUAAGAAGAAAGAAACAUGACAUUCAUGUACUGGAUAAAUUGUUGAUGUCUAUCUCAAUGAGUUCACAAAGUUUAUUACCUUCAUCAGGUACUGUCGUUGAUACUUAGCAAAUUUGCAUUAAUUUUGGUGUGAAUUGAUGGUGGUCUUCUUACCCUGCAAAUGAAUCUAAAGAGAUUAGAGGUAGGUGUUGUCGUGUCGAUGAUGUUUUAUUGACUGGAGCUCAUAUUUAUACAAGAUUGUAGGACUAGAGUCGUAACUACACUAAUACCUCAUAUUUAUCUACAGCUAACUACUGCACUGUCCUCUGUGCAAUAAUAGUUAUGUAUAAGUAUAACUCUACGCGAAUAAACACACAUUUUUUUGGAAGAAUAAUAUACACACGAAUAACAUAUAAUACUAUGAUAUUAAUCCAUACAAACUAACUUUAACUGUUUUUAUACUGAUCAUAUUUAUGUUUGUCGCAGCGUGGUCUUUGCAAGCUCUCCAUUCUUUAUGUCAGCUGAGGCUGCUGCUGCAGUAUCAGACAACUUUCCAUUCUGACGGCCGGAAAAGUCUACCCAUUUUUGUUGAAACUGGCGUCAUUCCUCAGGUUAGCUGAAAUCCACAGUUGAGGGUUUAAUUAAAUGAGCUUAUGUGUUGUUUAAAAUAAGCUGUGGAAUCAUGCCUUACAUAAAUAGAUCUGUGUAACUUUUAUCUUCGAAUUGUCCUAAUUACCAUGCAGUAUUCAGAUCUAUAACUCAGAAUAGUUGCAUUAAUUUAUAAAAAAGUUAUCACAGUUGAAAAAGUGGUUUACAGCUGACUUUCUUCCGUUGCAUUAACACUCUCAUGACCCCAUACUAUUUUGGAGGUUUCAUAGCUUUUUUAAUAUUUUUAGGUAUUUGUUUCUUGUUGAGAGCAUAUAUAAAUACUCUGUAAGAAUUGCUAAGACCAUCAUAGCUGAUUUGACGAGCAAUCGGAUAUUUUGUGCAAUUUCUUACACCUUUCCUUAGAGCAAUAAUAACUUCUAGAUCACUCAAAUCAUCACCCUCUUCUUCAAUCUCUUCAAUUAUCACUUCUCGAUCAGCAUUCGUAAUUCCCCCUUCACUGUUUCCUGUCUCAAAAGUAUCAUCCUCAAUCACAUUAAUCUUUAUUCUUUGAUAAACAAAAAGAGGUUUUUCUAAUGGUUCCUUUGAUGACAUUUGAGACUCUCCCCUGACUUACAACAUCAGUUGGGAGCUCCCCAUGACUUAUAACUUCAGAUGGAGUGUCUUCUUCCUCUAAACAAAUCGUAUCCACGAGGCUAUGGUUGCCAUCAUUAUCUGUCUGCUCCCCCUGAAUCACAGUGAUAGGAAAGUAGGUCUGUGAUUCAAAAAAGGUAGCAUCCCGAGUGGUGUAAACUCGUUUGGUCGGAGGAUGGUAGCACCUAUAGCCCUUCUGGGUUGAAGAGUAGCCUAUAAACACGCAUUUCAAGGCGCGCGGAUCUAACUUGGAGCGGUUGGGUGCUGAGUUGUGAAUGAAAACCGUGCAACCAAAUACUCGAGGAGGAAGAUCAGCUGAGAAACUGGCAAGAUGGGGAAAAUCUGCCAGAAGAACAUGUCGAGGAAUCUUGAAGUCCAAGACCCUACUGGGCAUGCGAUUGAUUAGGUAUGUGGCUGUUAGAACAGCCUCUCCCCACAAAUGCUUCGGAACAUUGUGUGUAAACAUGAGUGAGCGAGCAACAUCGAGUAAGUGUCUAUUCUUGCGUUCGGCAAUGCCGUUUUGUUGAGGGGUGUCGACGCACGAACUUGCAUGAAUGAUGCCAUGAAGGUGUAAAAAAGAGCCGAGGUCUUUGUUGAAGUAAUCGUGGGCAUUGUCAGUUUUCAAAACCUUGAUGUGAGUCUGAAACUGGGUAGCUACCAUUUUGUGAAAUAGCUGACAAAAUAUGUCUGUUUCGGACUUUUCUUUCAUUAAGAAAGUCCACGUCAUUCUUGUGUGAUGAUCAAUAAAUGUUAUGAACCAACGAGCCUCAUUGAUGUUCUUGACUUUCAUAGGUCCCCAAAUAUCGCUAUGAACUACACUAAAAGGUGUGGUAGGUCGAUAGCCGAUUCUAGGAUACGAAGACGCUUAUGCUUCGCAAGUUGACACACAUCACAUCUCAAAUCUUUUGAACCUUUAUUCUGAAAUAAUGCAGGUAAUAAUUUUUCAAGAAAGUAAAACUGGGAUGACCAAGACGGAAGUGCCACAAUAUGGCUUGAUUCUCAAUGUGUUCAAUACUAGAAACAACAUUAGCACUACUACUAUGGGCUUUACUGGAACUGUCCUCAUCCUGAGUUCCCUUCAACAGGUAGAGACCAUUACGCAUUUCACCACUUCCAAGCAUCUUUCCAGUCUCUACCUCCUAUAACACACAAUCAGGAGAGCGAAUUUUAGCUUCACAAUGAAGAGCAUGCUUUACUUGAUGAAUAGAGAGAAAAUUGCAGUCAAGUUUAUGCACAUAAAGUACUGAACAUAGAGUAAGAUCCUUAGUAACCCUAACAAUGCCUAUUCCUUUUAUCGGUGUUAUUGAGCCAUCGGCAAUCCGGACACCUGAGGUUCUAGGGUAAGGUUUUAAGUGUUGUAUCAACUCCUUACAACCAGUCAUAUGGUCUGUAGCUCCGAAAUUAAGGAUCCAAAUAUUCUGAGAAUUUUGACUAGAACUGUAAGCAGCCGAAGUACCUUAUUUGGCGAACAGACUAGACAUGUAAGAUUUCUUGGGAUCGGCUUUCUCAGUAUUCAUGAGUUGUGAAAAUAAUUUCUUUAGAGUCUCUAACUGUCCAGCUGAAAACUGUGUCGUAUCAUCAGUUUUGGUGGCAACUGUGUUUGCACGAGACUUCUACUUAUUCAAUUUCAGUCUGGGUCUCCAUCCUUGUGGUCCACCAACUAUUUUCCAGCACUCCUUUGUCGUAUGAAAGGGUCGUUGACAAAGAUCACACCAUUUUGAAGUGGCAGCAGAAGUAAGAUUUUGUUUCCCCUUGUUAUGGUUGUUCUUAACGAAGAGAGCCGUGGUUGAGGUCUCAGUUUUUAGGGCUGAACUGCUGGGUUCAGAGGUUGUCUUCGUCUCUGUAACCAUCAGAUGACGCCGACCUUCUUCUCUCAAAACCUCAGCAAACGCCUCCUUCAGACUUGGAAAGGGUUUCGUUCCCAUAACCCUGCUUUUCACAGCACCUAGGUCUUGAUUUAGUCCAAGAAGCAGUUGAACUGUCCUCUUCUUGUCCAUGAAUGUCCGGAAUGUUUUUGCAUCAUUCGGAGUAUCCCACGUCUGAGCUUCAUACAAAUCAAGUUGAAGCCAGGUUCGCACCAGCCGAUUGUAGUACUUCGUAGCACUCAAGUUACCUUGCUUGAAAUUGUAGAGUUUGGACUCAAUUUCGAACAAAGCAGAUGAGUUGUCUUGCGUGGAGUAGGUUUCUUUCACAUCAUCCCAAAGCUCCUUUGCAGAUUGAUGUAGAAGAUAGUUGUCGCCGAUAUCUGGUUCCAUCGUGGAGAUGAGCCAGAACCGAACUUGAUUGUCAUCAUUGUCCCACUUGGUGAAGGCAGCUGAGUCGGAUUCUUCUGGUUUGCUUGCAAUACCAGUAAGAUAUUCCCCUUUCUGUUUCCCAGUGAUGAACAUCCGGACUGACUGAGACCAUUGGAGGUAGUUGUUACCAUUGAAUUUCCUAAUGGACGACUAAGAUCUUUGGAGGUAGUUUUUACCAUUGAAUUUCCUAAUGGAAGCUCCUCCAGAGCCUGGUUCAGAUCCGAAAUUGUUGUUGUUGUUGUUGGCUGCCAUCUCAGUUUCGGAGAUGACAGAAGAAGGAUGAAUGGUGGAAGAAGACGAGUGUUUUGGAAAGGAAGAAGGUGAAACAAUCUUGUUGUCCGUGGUCAUGAUGAACCAACAGUGAUUCGUCUGUGGUCAUGGUGAACCAACGGUGAGAUUAACACCAACGGUAGCGGAAGAUGUAGCCGGCAGCUCUAUUACCAUAUUGAAUUUAUGAGAGAAAACUUUCAAUUGUAUUAAGAUAUGAAGGAUUAUAUAAGGGUUACAUAGGUUUAUAUAGAGUUAGGAUAGGAGAAUCCUUCCUUAACUAUAAAAACUCUAAGUACUAUUUCUAUACUAAUAAAAAAAAAUAUUGAAACUUAUUUCUAUAUUAAUAAAGAAAAUAUAAUAUUUUUCAUUCCAUGCAUUAUUCGUCGUAGAUUCUUAUGCACACACUAAAAAAUUGCUAGUAUAUAUAUUUUGCAGCAUUAUGUGCUGAAAUUUUAGAAUUUUUGUUGCGGAAUCCAAGAAGAACAGUGAAGUCAAGUUAAUUUGAGGCUAUUCUUUGUUUUCAUUCAAGGGUCCCUGAGGACUCUGAGAAUUUGGAUGAUAUUGGUGCCUGAACAUGCUAGUUUGAACAGAAGUCUCGCAGUUGGCUAGUUUUUUUGUAUACUAGGGUCUAGAGGUAUGAAUUUGAUCCAAGUAUGGGAAUAUGUUAUUUCUUAUCUGCAGGUUCUGGAGGCCAUAUUCAACAUUUAGUGUCUUCUAGUUCAUUGGCCUAAGGUUUUGAUGGCUUUUGAAAGGUAUGAUCUUUUGCUCUUUUGACUUCAUGAAGUAAUUUGUUAAAUUUUCAUUGAUUUUUAAGCAAAAGACUUAACCUCUUUCUAAAAAUAAAAAUAAAAAAGUAAACGACGUAACCUACUGUGUUGCUCUCACUUUUAUUCAGUGACUUAUCUAUUUAUUUAUAUAUAUGAUGAUGAAAGUAAAACAUAAAGAACUCAAAGAGAAAUAAGAUGAUAAAACGCUAAUAUGAAACCUUGAGUUAUUUUCUCUUCCGCACCUUGCCUCAUAGCUUCUUCCUCUUCCUUCAAUUUCAAAAUUUUCACCUCUCUGAGAUUUUGCUUUGCCAUAAUCCUUCAAUUGCUCUUGCCUGUCAUCAGUUUUCCUCUUCGUCAGCCAUCUUGGUUCUAUUACCAUUGCCUUCCGCUUGUUGUUGUCAUUGUUUCGAGUCCGGCUCUGUCUUGUCUUCUUCUUCUCCUUUGUUCCAUUACCAUUUACCACAUUCCCCUUCUUCCAGUCCCACCCCAAACGCAUUUGUAAUAACUCAGAAGACUAUAGUAGACGAUGGUUGCCAUUGUUACACAUUGAUGACGACUCUGUUUCACCGUUGCCCUCAACCUCCUCCUUACUGCCGUCGCAUGAUGCCGUCGCAUGACAGCAUGCCAUUAUAGAGCUCAUAAGGAAGAUUCAGUUGAUCUCUCUUUCAUACCUUGCCUCGUAGCUCCUUACUCUUCUUCUUCUUCCUUCAUUGGCAGUUUGGCACACCGGUCAUUUGCAGAAUCCUUUCUCUCUUUUCUCUGAGAUUUUGCUUUGCUAUCAUCUGUCGAUUGUUCUUAGCCUCCCAUCAACUUUUUCCUUUCACAGCCACCUUGGUUCUAUUACUAGCUUCUCCUUGCCGCCCUUGUUGUUUGAGCUCGAGGUGGCUGUCUAUGAAGAAUAAUUUUUAAUAUGAAAUUUUUAGUUCUUCUCUCUUUCACGCCCCACCUCAUUAGCUCCUCCUUAUUAUGUUCUUCAUUCGUUCGUAAAUUCAGAAUUCUCUCUCCUUUCUCUGGCCAUCAAUUUUUCCCUUCAGCGAAAACGAAAGUAGUAUGUCGGCAAACAGUCCCCCAAACUGAUAGAUACACAGGAGAAAGGGGAGGAAUUUAGUGGGACAUAGUCAUGGGUGCAGCGCAGCCACAAGAAGUUGUAAAUCCCGGUAACAAAUAUCGAGAAAAGGGAAAAGGGAUAAAACCGCCGAAACUCCUUGAUAUGCGCCGAAACGUUUCGGAUUCUCGGAACCGAAAUCGAAACGCCACCGCAGACGACUCGGUUAAUUUGAAAAUCCUCGGAAACCAAAAUACACGCCGAAACGCAUGACGAAACGCAAAAUGUUUCGGUUUCUCAAACCGAAAUCGGAACGCGAGAAAUUACCGAGAAAGAAAAUUUUACGAUACGUUUCGUGUGAUGAUAUUUCGCGAUAAUUACCCGAUAUAUUGACUUUUCUGCGAGAUUUGACCCUAUUUUUAUUUUAUUUUUAUACUAGAAAAUAGCGGGAAAAAGAAAAUCGGCGCCCGUAGCUUUCCGCUCUAGUUUGGGAGAGACUCGGGAAUCUUGUCAGCCGCCAACACAGCCACCGGAUCCUGCUAGACAAACAACAAUGAUCUCGAAAUCUUCACAAGAGGAGAGUUAGUUAUGAAAUUUUGAGGUAUGAUUAUCUUUUUGUACAUGGCAUUAGUUUCCAGAGAAUUACGGACCCGAAUUCAUUAGCAAUUUGUGAACAUUGAAGCUGAUACUGCAACACUGAAUCAGCAAGUGCUGGCCGGUGCUAUAGUCAAAGUAAAUCGUCAGCUAAUCCUUCUAUUCGUUGUAUGGUGAUCAGCCGCAUAGCAAAUUCAAUAGUGUCAGUCCCCAUAGCAAAUUCAUUGCCAGCAUAAAGGUACUCUACAAUCUUUCAACAAUGUGGAGAACUUUUAUGGUCCGUCUGUAUGUGCUGUUAGUUUGUGAAUCUUAUUGAAAAUAAUAGUUAUUUAGGUCUAAGUUCAAUGCUUUAUUGGUGAAAAUUUGACAUAACUAGUCUUGACAAUGGGCGGGUUUAGGGACACCUUUAUUGUCUGAUUGUUUUCCUGCGUAAUUAUUUCAAUCGCUGAAAUAUUGAUGAAUAGAAAGAAAUCAGCUUUCCAGACCCUGGGACGACUUCCAAUCCAACAGAAAGAUUCGUGGAGAACAAGGGGCACGCCAUGCUCUUCGUAGAAGAAGUUUUUAUAUCAGUUAGCUCGACAAAGGGUACGUUCUAAACAUCAUUUUCCGUCCUUAUGCAUGAGAUACAAAUUGCUAGUUUAGGGACGAAACUCAUAGGAAGAUGUAUAUAUUUAUAUGAUAAUGAAAGUAGUCUGGAUAAUUAUAUCAAAUCGUAGUGGAGUAGGAAAAUAAUUUGGAAUAGUUCAGCUGCUUGCAUUCAUAACGGUGUUAUGAACACUUGUUUGGGAUGGGAUUUAAAGGAUCACCUUUCAGGAAGCUAAUUUUACUCUGAAUUUGGGUGUGGAUUCUUGUUGAAGUGUUGCUGACAAGAUUGUUGAUGUGUUUUAGGUUUUUGUUUUAAUGGUGAAUGGUUUACUCUUUCCUCACCCGUUUAAUACAUUAAUCUAUUGAUACGGCCGGAAGCAACAUUAAUGGUUGUUUUGGCUCUUAAUACGUAUGAUUUUCAGAUGGACUGGCAGUAAAUUCACAAGAUGUGAGCGUAUCUACUUGGACAGCAACGAAGCUGGAAGUCUCAAAUCAUGGAAGAGAGCAGCAAGGUUUGAGUUGCGUUAUUUUGAUGCCAGCAAUUCUCAAAUAGGAAUGUGUUUUGCAACAAUCAUUCAAAGUUCGCCACCUGCUUUGAAUGGGUAUGUUGCUUUUUCAGGUACCCGCUUUUUCAGUUUUCAUCUUUUUUCCAAAAUUCCAUUCCAUUUCUCAAAAUUCGAUCUGAUCGACUCGGAAUCCUUAAUGGCAGAGAGGGUGGUAGAUAUCGGGGUGGUGACUACUGAGUAGAGUAUGUUUUGGUUAAAUAAAUUGUUUUGCAUUUGGCUAGCUGUCAGAUCCAAGAUUCAAGGUUGUAUGUAUGCAUCUUGUCCAUGCAUAUAGACAAAUAUCUUCAAGGCGGGAUAACAUUGCCCCUUGUCUAGUUUUUGGUUAAAAUAGCAUGAGAUUUUUAACCGUUAUUUGUUUUAGUAAAAAUUUUAUGGUGAAUAGAUUAGAAGGUGUUAACCAUAAAAUCUAAAAUUUCUGUAAGCCGGAGUCUCCAAGUAUUACUUAAAUUUCUUGGUCCUCAAGUAUUUUUGAAUUUUAGUUUAUACUGAAGUUAUCAUAUGUUUAUAAUUUGUUCUUUGAAUAACCUGAUGAGUGUCCUCAAAAAAGACUUGGUGAUUUAGUUUCUUCUUCUUAUUUGUUCUCUUUUUCUUUAUACUUUUAGGCUAGUCAACAAGAAAGAUCAACUUGUGUGUCUUCUUUGAUGCUACUACUAGCAUGAGUAUUCAUUGCAGCCAAAAUUAUAAGGGUUGGAGCUACUGGGCAUCAUCAACAUUCAGCAAAAGUAAAUUUUGAGAGUGGGCUUCUUAUUUGUAUAUGAGCAGUCUUGUUUUUUGUUCUUAAUUAUCCAUUCACUUCCAUCACUAUUNNNNNNNNNNNNNNNNNNNNNNNNNNNNNNNNNNNAAAUAUGCAUUACAUAAUUGCAAUAAUAUAUUACAUACUUUGGCUAAUCAAACCAAUAUCCCACUUUUAUUCCCCACCUCGAUUGUUAUAGUGCUAAUCAAACCAAUACCCCACUUUUAUUCUCCACCUCGAUUGUUAUAGUCGUUAUAGCCGGAAAGGAAGUUGGGGGUAAUAAUGACAAUAUCUAUCCAUUAUUUACGAAAACUCGGAGUUUUGAAGAAAACAUCAUCAACACCAUGUAUUUGAAAAAUGCACAUUUGAGAGGAAAUGUGGGCUCAGAGAAAAAGUGUUUUCGUAGAACACUGGCCAAUUAAAACUAAACAAACAAGUAUUUUUUUAUUACUCUGAAUUUUUACAAUACUCUCCUAAUUUCCUCUAUAUCAAACGAGCCCCAAAUUUGGACAGAGGUUCUAAAAAUGUCGUUAAUCUUAUGUAUUAACAUAUUUCCUAUCAUGCAAACUUGACGUUAUGGACCCGAAUCCCAAUUGAAUUUUAAAGGAAAGGUUAGUUAAUGUAGGGGAGGUGAUUGGCCCGGUCCAAUAAAUACAACCCGGACAGCCCAGUCCAUACAGGAAUUGCGGGUCAAGAAAAUCUGACCAUAAGUCCGACUUGGGAAAGCCAAAUGAAACUGCAUUGUUAAACUUAAUGUUUGGGGAAUGGGUUAAUUUUAUUCCUGAUAUUUUUUAAUAUUUUUUAAUCUCAAUAUUUGGGGAAUUGGCCUAUUUUAUCCUUGAUAUUUUUCUAUAUUUUUUAGCCUAAUGUUUGAAAAAUUAACCGAUUUUACCCUUGACAUAUUUCUAUAUUUUUUAGCCUCAAUGUUUGGAAAAUUGACCGAGCAUUGUUCACGCAUGCCAGCUCUCUUCAGCUCUCCCUAUCAUUUCGGACAAAAAGUUGAAGUUGCUGAAACUUAAACGUCCAAAUAUGAAAUGGAGCUUGAUUCAAUCAACGAGAAUGUACUAGCAGCCUCGUUCCUCAUCGUUGCUCUAUCCAAAAUAAAGAAUUUGACAACUUUGAAACAAACCAAAGUGAGACCAAUACAAAGAGAAGGAAAUAAAUGUCGUCGUCUCUCCUCCGCAAAUGUUGCAAACUAAAUUUGUACAAUUAAUUAUGCGGAGAUUCUAUUAACUCUGAAAGAAUUCAUUACUUGGCGGAGAUCAUUCUCUUCUUCCACAAACACACUCUCCGGAGUCUGCAGUCUCAACUCAUAAAGACGGUUGUUAUCGACUCCAAGAACGGAGAGGUAACGCCGAUCCCAUUCAAGACGGACCACUCUGUCUUGUGGCAUAACUGCAAGCUCAUUGUUGCUGGCGAAGGACUUGAUGUUCACCUCAACUUGGUAAUACAGUUUUCCAUCUUCAGCAACUCUAGACGAAGUGGUAAGAAUAUUGGCUUCUCGACGGACUCCAAGUCUUGUGGACAUGAACUCGGUAAGGUACUGUUUGAGCACCUUGGCUCCGGCGUCUUGUGGCGAUCCUAACUCCUCGACGCUUUUAUACCUUGAGAUAUGACACACACACACAAGUGAUAGUGUACAUGAGAUUCUGAAGUGGUUCUAGGUUUUAAACAGGGAAUAUAUCAAGUCUUAUAUAUAGGUAUAGCCGAAUAGGGUAAUAGAUAGAGUGGUGCUACCUGGAGGACGAUGGGGAGGAGAACUCGACGGAGAUGUUUUCGUCGAGAAUGUAAGGGUCCCUGAAGAAGAUAUCUGCCCCAGCUCCGCGGACCUGAAUCCAAUUGGUAGGAUAAUUGAAGGAGUAACCGUCAAAGGUGUCGAUGUAUUCCCUGAAGGAAACAGCAGAUGGCAGGGCAAAUGCAGGGUGAGUUGAUUCAGGUAAGAAUGAAGUAGCGGUGGAGAGGAGGAUGAAGGACAAGGCGUCUCUCCUCGGAACUGCAAAAGCUUUAGUCUGAUUAAUCAAAAAGAAGAAGAUGAAGAGUGGAAAUGAGUUAAAUAGAUGGUAUAUCAUUAUUCCAAUGCCAAGUGGAACCUCUAGUACUGCUACUUUUUUAUUCCAUAAGCAGAAGACAUAAAAAUAAAAAAGGCAAGUACCAAGAAUUAACAAAUUACCUGGUAGAGAUGGUGCUUAGAAGCGGAGACGAUGGACGAAUGGGGACCAUGAUUUUGUGAUGGAAGAUGGAAUGUCGGAGGAGGAAGAUGAAAGGAGGAAGAGACUAGCGUCGCCAUUUUUGCAGAUAGAUAGUACUGGGAAGGGAGUGAGGAACUUGGGAAUGGAUAAAGAUAAGGUAUUGCUGUCCAGGCUGGCUGUGAAUGAAGGAAUUGCUGGUAAGAGCUGGGCUGCUUGGGUUACAGUUACUACACACGGUUGACUCACUACAUAGAUAGAUAGACCCGAAGGAAGCCCACAGUCCAUCAUAUUCCUAGACCCAAUGAAUGCCGUUUGGGCUACCGAGUCGAGUUAACAAACCAUAUUUGGCGAACAAGAAAUGAGCGGAUCUUGCGAGUUCUGGUGAAUUGAAUUGUCGACCUGGCUGGUGUGUGAGGUUGUACCAGUUACCAGGCAGGAAGCCAUCUUUCUUUCUACCAACAUUAAACUUCUUCUCAUCCAAGGCCCAAGGGUACCCUUAAUUAACUAAAGAUUUUUCCCUUGAAAGAAAUAAUAUUUAACUUAAGAUUCCUAUUGUGGUCUGUGGAUGCAUUUUCUUUCUUACCCUCAAACCCAACCAUUGUCCUUUGGGUAAACCUGACCACUGUCCUUGCAUAGAUAGAGAGCACACUCCAUCGCCUUUACCUUUCCUUCGUUUUGAGAAAUUUUGGACUAGGUGACACAUUCCGGUCCCCGUCUUUUCCCUCUCCGUUCAUCUCCCGCCAAAAACCGGGAACCACCAACAAGCUUUUUCUGUCCCUUCAACUGCAAUGUCCAAAGCUUCUUAUUCAACGAUCCCCCUUUUCAAACAGGGCGAACCAGUCGAGAUCAGCUCAGACGACCCUGGUUUCCGCGGAUCCUGGUUUUCUGGCACCGUCAUCCGUAGAAACAAGGAGAACCCUAACCAGUACAUAGUUCAGUACAACAAGCUCUUCGAGGACGAAUCUGGCCGGAUCCCAUUGCAAGAAACCCUUCACUGGGUCCAAUUGCGGCCUCCGCCGCCGGCUGACAUGAAGAAGGUCAAGUUCAAGUUUAGCGACGAAGUGGAGGCCUUCCAUAGAGAUGGCUGGUGGGAAGGGGUUAUUACUGAAGAGCUGGCCGACGGGAAGUUCGCGGUGUUCUUCAGGAGCUCCAAGGAGCAGAUUGUGUUUGGUGACAAGGACUUGAGGUUGCAGAGGGAAUGGGUUCGUGGGAAGUGGAACCCGCCUUUCGAGCAACACCUGGUAGAGAAAGAUGUGAGAUUUCUGUCCCUAUUUUCAGUCAGUUGCUCUUCGUAUUUCGCUCCCUGGUCGGCUCCUAUUCUUUGCUUUAACCAUUUCUCGUUGCGCGCAAAAAGGACAUUCAUUUGGGCUCACUUUGCAAUUUGCAUAGCACGCUUAUUGUCAGCUUUUUAAGAUUUGUCAAAUGGAAAUGUCCCUGUGAACGGAUGUUGCUUUUGUCACUUUAUUGAACCUCUUUGAAUCCCAUCUAAAGCAGAGAUCAGCAGUGAAGACCUCCAAAGUUGUUAAAGAGGAGAAGCUAUCUGAUGCAAGGACCAACCAAGAGCAUGUUGCGAGGAAGACACCCAAAAAAGCUUUCAAGUUCAGCCUGGGAAUGCAAGUUGAGGUUACUACUGAGGAAGAAGGUUUUGAAGGUGCUUGGUUUUCUGCAAUCAUCGUGGAAGCUUCUGGAGAGGAUAAAUACCUUGUUCAGUACUUGACCUUAAGAAAUGAGGAUGACACUGAAUUUCUGAGUGAACACAUACAUGCUUGGCACAUAAGACCGUCUCCACCAGAGACCGUUGUCGAUUCAUUCAAAUUAAUGGAAGAAGUCGAUGCUUAUUAUAACGAGUGUUGGUGGGUGGGCGUGAUUGUGAAGGUUUUGUCCGACAGCAAGUACCUCGUCUACUUCAGGGACACUGAAGAGGAAUUAGUGUUCACGCAGGGUGACUUAAGGCAACAUCAAGACUGGAUAGGUGGCAAAUGGAUCAUCCCUUCGCAGGUAUGAAUUGAAUGCUUCAACUACUCUACUUUGACAGAAUGGUUGUUUCCUUAUUACGAACAACUUGUGAAACAUGUCUACCAAAUGUUGGCAUCUCGAUCAUGUUUUCCUUUCUUUUAAAACAGAUAGUAAAUGACUUAUGUAGGUGGAUAUUUUGAAAUGGCCAAUGAAAAAUACAAUUAAGUUGAUCUAUGGAUUCUCAGGAUUGAACUACUACGUUAAAAGGUCUGUCUCAAGGGGAACAGGAGAGAAAUUUAUCCAAUCAAACAUUCGAAGGAUUGAAAUUCUGUCCAUGUUGUAUGAUAAGAUGAAUUAAAAGUUUUGUGUUUUUAAGAAAGCAUCAAGUGGGCGAAGAGUUGGAAAUUGACUGAUAUUAUUUGCGACUUCCUUUCUCAGGUGCUGAAGCUGUGAGUUCAUUUCAAUGAGAUGUGCUAUAAAAUGAUCACAUCCAAGCAUAUUUCGUUGUACAUAAGUCGCCGUUGAUGGGAUCCAUUUCAAUGAGAUGUGCUGGGUGAUUGAACAGUCUCGUACAGAAGUCUCUUCCAUUUCAUUCAGGGAGCAUCCAACCAUGUUUGUAUUUGUGUAUUCGUGGCUGGAUUCUUUUCUGUCACACAAUUCUCCGUUAGCAUGUAUGGCUCUUUGUUACGUCUCCUCUUUUUGGUUUUUGGUUUUUGUACUGAACAGCAGUAGUUGUGUCAUGCAGUUUGGAUCGUUUGGUAUGUGCGACUAUGUACGUAUUCUCGAUGUCCAUCUUCUUUCUGUAGACAUGGUUGGUAAACACGGAUUCCAAUUGUAUAUUAGAAUAUUGCUGGAGAUAUUGACGGAUACAGUGUUUGAUGACCCUUAUGGUGGUGAACGGUUGAUCGUGAUCAUUCCAGGACGGCUAGCAUCUGAAUUUUGUAUCUCAGAGAGCGAUCCCGUGAUUGCUGGGUGCAUGAAACCAGAAACCCCAUUGUCGGAAUAACACAAAAAGCUAGAAAGUGAAGAUGAUUCAUUCAUCAGGAAAUAAGUAGCAUUUAGAAAUUGGGUGGAUAUACUGCUACAAUACAUAAUAGCAGCUGUAUACAUGAUAAUGGUGGGGUUCAAAGUUAUUUGUUACACUUCCGCAUUGGCUCCUUGUUCGACCUGAAAAACAGAUACAGGGCAGGUCCUGUAAAGGCCAGUUGGGGUCUUGAAGGUAAUUUUCCCAGUGGAUGAACUUCUACACAAACAAGAUGAGGUAAGCAUAAUCUAGCUCCUUCUUUGGGAAAUAGGGGGUUUAUGUGGAAUCACAAGUGCUGGGGUUUCCAAGGUUUUAUUUGAAAACAAUGAAUGAAAUCCUCAUAAUAGUCAAAUAUUUAUAUGCUCUCGGAGAAUUGAUGAUUCCGAGUUUUCUUACAGAUACAGUAUAUCAAGCAUUUCACCUUCACUAGUCGAUCCCUUGGUAUGAGAUUACUAACCUGGGCUGUCCCAUUACUUGUCAUGCUCUAAAGAUUUUACCCAUUGUCCCAUUACUUGUCAUGCUCAAAAGAUUUUACCCAUUUGGACUACUGAUCUACAGAUGGGAGCUGAAAAGAGCUUUGAAAUACCAUGCAAAGCAUUUGAUCAUGAAGCCAGGGCUGCACUGGAGGUACGAGUUGUUACUGCCUUUAUACUUUAGCUCUCAAAGCCAGGGGUUUAUCUUAUCUCAGUUGACUGUUGUGGUUCUUCCUUGUUUCAAGGUGACCGACUGACCGGUUGAGCUGAGAAGGAAGGAUGACAGACGAGCCUUCAUCAAAUGAUCAUCAAGGAUAUGUUUUGAGAUGUCCCACUCAAACCAUUUUGAAUUUAGCAUCCGUGUUUCAUUUCCUUUUGGCAAAUUAAGUACAGAAGGAAUUCUUUCAUCUAUGGUUCUGCUGUUUGCCCCCGAAUUUUGUUUGUACAUAUUCUAUAUUCAUGUACAACACACUGUGAUGGGACAAGUCGCUAGUCAGUUGUAAAAUAAGGAAUGUUAGCAGAACGUGGCACAUGAUGCUCAACGGAGGAAAAGUUGUUUGAUGUAUCCUUUGUUGUUAAGGUUGCAUUAGCUGAAAACAACAGCCAUUUACAUUUGCUCGUAGGAUGUUAAUUGCAUCUAAUAAAGCUGAAAUUGCUCUUCUUCGCCUCUUUGUGUCUAUAAUUAGUGAUUGUUAGAAUUUAAUUAUCAUAAUGUGUCUUAUUAGAUGAUUUUUUUUACUCUGUAAUUAGUGAUUGUUAGAAUCAAAUAAUCAUAUGAUGUGAGUAAGACACUAUCACUAGAUUGGUCUUAAUUUUUUCUUAAAUGGUCUUUAAAUUUAAUUAUUUAAUUAUUAUCCUCUAAGCAUGCAUUUAAAUUUAUUUAAACGUUGUUAAUAUAGUAAUACGCAUUGUUAUUCCAUCAAAUUUGGAAUAAAUAGUUAAAAUACUCGUACUGGAAAAAUAACAAAUUGGGAGAGGGAGUUAGCUUUGCCCUUGAUAACACCAACGCCGUUCCUCAUCUCCCUCCACAUAACACCAUCCUUCAGAAACCCAACUGGCCUGCUACCACCGAAACCCAUAGCCUUGCCUACUACCUACCUUUACCGAUUAUCUCGAACUGUGAUUCACCGGACUCCGGAGAAGAAAAGAAACCUCAAUGGCGAACAGUAACCUUCCUCGGAGAAUAAUCAAGGUUGGGAAGUAUUUGAUUUUUCUUUCACCGGAUCGAAUCUCAGUCUGCUGCUUUUUCCCUGGAAGGAUUUCUAGCUUUUGAUUCUGAUUUCAUUCCUGGGUUCGGAUUUUCUUUGUGUAGGAAACGCAGCGGCUGCUCAGUGAACCAGGUGUUCUUUCUUCAUUUUCUCCCUUUUCCCUUCUUUGUUGGAGCAAUCUGAUUGUGCCUGUAUGUAUUUUCUUUCUUCCGAUGACUGUCCGCAGUUAUGGUAAUGUAGUGAUCUCUUGGGUUAUAUAUCAGUCGAUCGAUUGGUAAACUAGAACCGUGAGAUAGAUGUCUAGGUCAGGAAAUGGGUUCGGGCGUGAUAUUGACCGAUCUACCAAAUUGGACUUACUUCGACCGUGCUUAAUUCCCUGUCAUAUAGUUCUUCUGAUUACGAGAAGCAGUAGCUGUGGACUAGUCAAUCGUGAGCACUCGUUUUGAAGUGGUGGAAAUGAUAGUGGUUGAUUUCUUCUAGGGUGCAUUAACACUCUUUUAUUUGAUCCUACUGUGCUUAAUUCGUUGUCAUAUAACUGUGUUAAGUCCUUGUCAUGUGGUUCGUUUGAUUAUGAGAAGCAGUACGUGAGCAAUGGUUUUCAAGUGGUGGAAAUGAUAGUGGUUACUUUCUAGGAUGCAUUAACACUCUUUAUUUGAUCUUACGCUUUGUAAACCCUUCUCACUUUGUAGCAUUAUAUGUUCUAGUGACAUGGAUUCUUGAUUUUCUGGUUACAGCCCCUGGAAUUAGUGCUUCCCCUUCUGAAGAAAACAUGCGAUACUUCAAUGUUAUGAUUCUUGGUCCAACACAAUCACCUUAUGAAGGUUGGUGUUUGAACCCUUGUCCCUGAAUACGAUCGUAUAUUAUUGACAGUUGGGUUUAUAAUUGAGAUUCUUCUUCGGAUACCUCUCUUGCAUUUCUGUUUUGAUAUUAGGUGGUGUUUUUAAGUUGGAAUUGUUCUUGCCUGAAGAAUACCCAAUGGCACCUCCCAAGGUACUUCAAAUGUUGUUUUGAGUGAAUUUCAUAAAUCCUGUACGUUUAAUAUGGGAUAAAAGCUCUAAUCAAAUACAUGUUUACUCAUCAAUGAAGCCCUUUGAUUUGUGCUUUCUCCCCACUUAGUUAUGGAUGAAAUGAAUUGGCUUUUUAGUUAUCUGAUAAGCUGUUUAUGAUCAUGAUGAAUUACCAGUUAGUCUAGCUAGGUUGUUUUGUCUUUCUAUAUCUGUUGCUGCAUUGUGACUGAGUCCCAUUAAUUCCGUGGAACUAUAAGCUUGCUUAUCUUCUAUCACAUAAAAUGGGAUUGUGUAGACUUUGUUUUUGCUUCUGAACUUUAGCUCGUCGAUUUUCAAAACUUCUUGUCUGUUAUUGUGAUUUAUAUCUGUAGUUUGGUUUUCGAACAUCUACGUCUUGUGUGUAUUUAUCAGUUUGUGUUUACAUGCAACAGGUUCGCUUCUUGACAAAAAUUUAUCACCCUAACAUUGACAAGGUGUGCCCUCUCAAUCAUCCCCCCCUCCACCCACUAUAUAUCCUAGUUUUUUAACUUAAUGGGAAAUACUUUUCUGCAGCUUGGAAGAAUUUGCCUUGAUAUUCUUAAAGAUAAAUGGAGCCCUGCACUCCAGAUCCGAACUGUUCUGCUAAGGUGACAUUUGGAUUCUACCAUUUAUUUAGUCUCUCAAUUGACUUUGUUUCCAAACAAGUGGAUGGUAUGAAUGGCACUGGAUAUUUAUUCCUAUGUUUGAAUUUUGUGAUCCUAACUGUUCUGCUAAGGUGACAUUUGGAUUCUACCAUUUAUUCAGUCUCUCAAUUGACUAUGUUUCCAAACAAGUGGAUGGUAUGAAUGGCACUGGAUAUUUAUUCCUAUGUUUGAAUUUUGUGAUCCGAACUGUUCUGCUAAGGUGACAUUUGGAUUCUACCAUUUAUUCAGUCUCUCAAUUGACUAUGUUUCCAAACAAGUGGAUGGUAUGAAUGGUACUGGAUACUUAUUCCUAUGUUUGAAUUUUGUGAUUCAGUAUCCAAGCUCUCUGUGACAUUUGGAUUCUACCAUUUAUUCAGUCUCUCAAUUGACUAUGUUUCCAAACAAGUGGAUGGUAUGAAUGGUACUGGAUACUUAUUCCUAUGUUUGAAUUUUGUGAUUCAGUAUCCAAGCUCUCUUGAGCGCACCAAAUCCUGAUGAUCCUCUGUCUGAGAACAUUGCAAAGCACUGGAAGUCAAAUGAAGCUGAAGCUGUUGAAACAGGUAAUUGCUAGUCAUUGCAUGUUUGCUGAAGCACAUCCUAUAUCGAGUUUGCGAAGAAAAUAGUUAGAUGAGUUGAUAUACCCCCUUUAAUAUCUGAAAGCGCAUAUUGUCAUACUAGAAUCUGGAAUGCCUACUGGAUGGUAUUUUUUGGAUAAAUCAAGAAUGCACAGAGGGAAAUGAAAAUCAUGUACCCAAUUGUACUUAUCUGACUGAAUCAAACCAAACAUUCACUUCAAAUUCUUUUGCAGCUAAAGAAUGGAGCCGCUUAUAUGCAAGUGGUGCAUGAGGAGGCAAGCUGGAGCGUGCAAAUGAUCUAUGUUGUUACAUUGGUUAAGUGAAUUUGAAAUGUAAUGUCUGUUGGUUCCUAAAUGGGAAAUAUGCUUCAAGGUAUGCUCUGAACACUAUCAGAUACAUGAAUCCUUAAAGAGUCUCGAGUCUUGAAUCCAACAGUACUCUCUUUUCAGUAUACUGGACAUGUAUCAUACAGCGUCAUUGGAAGCUUCCCUUUAAUUGACUUGCGAUAAUGACUAAUUGAAUUGUGAAUGCCUUCAGAGCGUGAGGAAAUUCUUACUUUUUACUUGUUAGACAUUCUUAGGCAGCUAUUAGUUUGUUAUCUUUAUUCGUGCCAUAACAGAAUACUUUCAACUACAUACCAAACAGAUGAGGGCUAAAUUACGUCUAGUCAACUAGAAAAAACUGUAACUGUAAGGUAUCAUCGUUCGACGACGAUCAGAGUGUACCCGGAAACCAAAUGGAAAAACAGGCUCCACUCUCCGUUGAACUGAAUCAUUAGCCCGAUUUUAAUUUUGGACUGCAUGAUUAGAGGAGGAAAUCUGAUGUGAUACUAGAUACAAACAUACACAUCUGAUUUAUCCUAUUUUGGAUUGCACUAGCCUUCUUGCGGGCCAACAAAAAAUAUUUUUCCAAGUUUUGAGGAUUGCAUGAUCCAUGCAUUUGUCGAUUUAUCCUCAUACUUGAAGUAAAUUAUCCUCAUUCUUUUGGUAAAUAAUCCUCACAGCUAGUAUGAAACGGCUGUCAUGGAAUGAACAAAGUAAAAAAUCAGAUAUUAUCAUGCUAUUUAAAUGGAUCAGUAUCACAACCCAAACUAACAUCCGCAUACAAAGUACAAAUUAUAAGAGAAAGUUCUGAAAAAAGUAACGCUUCCUUCAAUGUCAUAACUCAUAGUAAUUACUAAUUACCCACCUCAUACCUUCCCUUUCAAUACAAUCUUUCAUUCACAGUACUCCUCGCAUAUAAAACCCACAUUCAUCCUGCCAAUAUAUUCAGAUCAAGCAAAAAAGAAAACCAUGGCAGCGGAUCCAAAGCAAGGAGCUAUAGUGAAGACGGGCCACGGAGAAGUAAUGAAGAUGGUGGUAUUGCUCCUUGGAGAGUUCGAGCUCCCCGAAGGGCUGCUGCCGUUGGAAGCUGCAAUAGAGACAGGGUACAAUAAGGAAACUGGCUAUUUUUGGAUCGUGCGGAAAAAGGCAGUAACGCAUGAGUUCAAGAUAAUUAGCAAGCAGGUCAGUUACGACUCAGAGAUUACUGGCUACAUUGAGAAAAAGAAGGUGAAAACGCUAAAAGAUGUCAAGGCCAAGGGGGUUGUUAUUGUGGCCUCCGGUGAACGAGAUCAUUGCAGAUGAUCCCCCACCGAAAAGGGACCAUUGGUGGUAUUACCAAGACUUUCCCCGUCGAGGCAUUUGCCGCCAGCCAGUUGCUUAGUAUAAUGUUCACGUUCAUUUUGCUACUUGUUUGCCUACAUAUCUAAUUUACUGUUGUUCUCCAGCAUCUUGGUAUACUUAAAUUAGUAUCUUGUAGGCCAUGUUUCUUCUUUAAUUGUCCCGCUACUGGAAAUAAAAUGGAUGGUGUUUGACCAAAAAUUGGAUUUUUACCCUGACCACAUGGGUAUUUAAUAGUUAGCUGGGUUAAUAGUUAGCUUAGCAUAAUAGGGAAUUAAUGGUGGUUUGUUGAUAUUACCAAUUGCAAGCUACAAAGAGAACAUGGAUCAACUCACUUUAAUAUAAAUGGGUGAUAAUCCACAUGGCAGGGUGUAAUUAGAACAAAAAUAAUGAAUUCACAAGGUGAUGUGUUUACGUCUUAACAAAAAAAAAAUUAGAUGCAGAAUUGACGAAAUGUAGUAAAUUUAAGAAUUGAUUACUAUUAAGUUAAAAACAUACAAUGACCAUGGGGUUACAAAAUGGCAAACCCAAUUGAUUGAUGACUACAAUGGAUAUUAAGCCUUCCUUUCAGACACAGCGAAAUCUUCUUUAUAUUUAAUUAUUUCUCCGAUCUCCACCGUCAAUUGAUCUGCAAGCUCCUACUCGGGGUGAGCUGGUAAUCUAACCCGACCCGGCUGCCCUGAUUAGUCCAUUUUGAUUUAUUCCUUCCUCGAAUCCUCGGAGAAGAACUGAAGAAGAGACUGGAGAACUUCUCCAAACCAACUUUCCAGUCCACGAGUCGAUUCUGAUCGUGAUUUAACGCUGCAAUUGAUCUCUUGUUCCUUCUAAUCAAGUCCAACCCAAAUCGCAUUGCAAUCUUCAUCCAGAUCCGUGGGAGUUCGCCUCGAUCAACAACAGAAGGUGGUAGGAGGCAAGAGGAGUCGUUGCAGAUCAUGCAGAAGGAAGAGGUGGCACCGCCUAAGGUUGGCGGCGGCGAAGAGUCUGACGAUGUUGAGCUUGUGCUCUUUAAAGUACCCGAAUGCUACGUGUACCUGGUGAGUGCUCGUUCGAUUGUUUUGAUUCAGUUCUCUGGUGUUUAAUCUGGUUGAGUUCUAGGAGUUUUGAUUCUGCUUAGCUAUUAGUCAUGCACUAUUAGAUGAUCAGUCGGUUGAAAGUAAACGCAAGUAUGUUUUCGGUAUUACUGCGGAUAAUAUCCUUACGGAUCAGCUGAUGCGAUUCUCAGACUUACGUGAACCGUGAAGCACACUUUGGCCAUAGAACUUGAAUUAUUUGUUAAAGCAUGCAGCGGAUUCGGUUGUGCACUGCUGAAGCUUGAAGGCUGUUUUGACGUUGGGGGACUGGGGUGGUCAUGGAUUCGGAUGACUGAUUGCUAGAGUUAAGCUGUUUGAAUUAUGAAGAGGAAGAAACGAAGAAGAUCAAACAAUGCAGUUAGCCAAAUCUUCUCCCCAUUUAGGCCGGAAUACAAUGCAGGAAGUUUGGAAAUUUGGCAUAGGGAUAGUUGGGAGUUUGCAACGACGUCUAUGUCUAUGAAAGAUUCAUUGAAGUUCUGAUUGCUUUAAAUUUUAGCUUUUGAAAUUGUAGAUGACUUUAGUUUAUGUUUUUGAAACAUAGCUUUUGGUUUAAUUUCGCAGAUACCUCCAAGGAAAACAGCUGGUUCUUACAGGUUCUUCCUCAUCUUGUCAUAAUACAUUUCCUGGAUUCUAAAUCUUUGGUAUUUUGUAGAACUGUCUUGAAACUAACUAAUCUCUCCCCACUUUAGUUUUUGUACUUUGACUGUUUUCCUUGAACUUUUCUUUCUCUGCAACGAGAGACAAACUUUUCAUCACUUGUUUCGCUUUAUUCAAGACUAAUAUAAGUGUCAUCUUUGCUUGGCAGAGCUGAUGAGUGGGACAUUAACAAAUGGGCAUGGGAAGGAUCUUUGAAAGUUGUUAGCAAAGAUGAAGAAUGCAUCAUCAGGCUGGAAGACAAAUGCACAGGUUUGAUUACCCUGGAAUUUUAGUCAAGGUGGAAGCCAUAUUAUUUGAUGCACUGUACUUCUGUUAAAGAGUUUUAUUUUUCCUGAGGCUAUUGCUUGUUUUUAAUUCCGAGAGCAGGCGAGCUAUAUGCAAGGGCAUUUCUGAGGAAAGGGGAACCUCAUCCUGUUGAACCUGUGAUUGAUAGUAGCAGGUUAAGCUUAGAUUCUUGCACGUGCUUAGCUCUAGAUGCAUGACUUUUCAUGCAUUCAAUGAAAAUCAAUCUGCUUAGUCUCCUAAUUUGCAUUUAUUUAACCAUCAUUUAUCAGAACUAUUUUGAGGAUUAUUUUGAACUAGUCUUCUCGUUCUGCAGAUAUUUUGUCCUUCGUAUAGAAGAAAACAUCGGUGAGCAUGUUAUAUCAAUUUCAUGUUUAGCUACAAAAUGGACAGUUUUAUGUUUGAGAAUCGAUUCUGUUGUUGGUGAUUGAUGGAUAAAGUUUCGUUUUUAUAUCCGAAGAAAGGAUUUGCAAAUUCUUCAACUCCGUGGUUUGUCCUCGGUUAUGAGGUGAUGCAUGUGAAUAUAAGAAUUAUGCAUGUUUGACAAAUGGUUGGACAAACUGUUGCCUAGUGCGGGUUUCCCGGUUCCUGAACUGUAUCUCAUUCAUCAUCUCAUCACCUAGAGUUCACCUCCUCGCAUUUUCGUGACGCAUGUAUAGUUGAUCCUCGUGCGUGAAAUGAGGCAAAAGGAGUUACGCAUCAUAUCAAAUUGAUUUUGCUGUCACUUUGACUUUCUUUUCCUCUUAGAUAAGUUUAUUCAGGUUGUUAAAUAAAUAGGAGAAUGGAAUGCAUCAAUUUAACAUGUACUUAUUAGCUGCGGGAAUCAUUGUGGGGCAGACGAUCUACACACUUACUUUAACAUCUCAGCCCCUUGCUAUUUUUCUAUGUGUAUAUGUUUACCGUCACCUGAAUGCUGCUUCUGGCGUUAUGCCGCUGUGUAUAAAUGUACUGAUCAGGCAAUGUGUUAUCCUUCUGAUCGUCUCUUGAUUGCUUUCUGACCUUUCCAGCGUUUACUUUCUAAGCACCAUUAAGAAUUAGCUCCUGCAUUUUUUUAAACUUUGUAUUCUAAUGAUUUUGGAUUUUACUGAGUGCGAUUUUACCUCCUCCGAUCCCUUAGUUAUGCCAUAAAAAAGGAUCCCUUAGUUAUGCUACAUUACUAAGAUUCCCGUAAUUUCACAGAGCAUUGCCUGCAUUACCACAUAUUGACCGAUUCUAGUUGUUUACUGCUUUGAAUCAUUCAUCAGAUAUCAUUAAGGGAAAAAAGUAAAAAUUUAUUCAUUUAUGAUUAUCGUACCUUUUUGUUGGUUGUUACGUUAUGGAGGCAAGUUGUUACUUUCAGGUGGAAGACUUCGGCAUGCAUUUAUUGGAGUCGGUUUCCGGGAGAGAACAGAAGCAUACGACUUUCAGGCAGCACUGCAUGACCACAUGAAGUAUGCUCAGAAUUGUCCCGUUUCCGUGAUAUUUAUCAAUUAGUGGCUAACGAAAUUCGGUCUAGUUUGAUCGCAGUUGCCGACUUAACAGCUUAUGAGAUGGAUAUCUCAACUCAUCCAGCUUAGGACGUUACUUAUUAUUUUUCAAUGCAUCUUUGCAAGAUACCUGGACAAGAAGAAAACUGCUGAGGAGAUGGAACAACAUUUUCAACACAGUUCAGGCCUCGGCUACAGUUUAAAAGAAGGGGAGACCCUUGUCCUCCAAAUUAAAAAUGUAAGCUCAAAAUUUGUUUCCUCGUCUACGGAAGUAAUAAAGACAAACACAUUUGUGGCCCUCGGAACACAUACUCGAAUUUAACAUUUCUACUUCUUUCGUAUGUCAGCCGAGAACCGGCCGUGGGAUCAAGUCUCAGUUCUGUGAACAAGGCGUGAACAAUCUAUCAUUGGAGGAGAAGAGUGGUAGUAACAAGGAGCCAAUCCUAAGUAUUAGACCUCCCCCACCCCCACCAGGUCCUCUUUCACCUACUGUAAGGUCCAUGGCUAUCACCCCGUCUAACUCUCCUCCAAAUCUCAGUCUGGAUGCAGCAUCAUCCAAGGCAGAGGCGAGCAACACCACAACAGAAAACAGUAAGGAACAUCAGUUUCAGGAGAAGGAGACAAGAGAUAACAUUGACGAUGAUUUUGGAGACUUUCAGGCAGCUGGAUAAGUCGGCUGAAGGAAUCAAAUCCUUUACAAACAGUGAACGUAAAAUCAUUGCAGUUUGCAGACAGAGACGUGUAAUGAUCAUAGCAUUAGAGAUAAAUCAGAUACCAGGGCUGUAACAGUGAUCUACCAAAAAGGAACAGUUAGCUGGUUUUGGGAACAGUUCCUGCUCCUGGUUAUUGUCAAGGCACGCAUGUCUUCUUUUGGUUGUUGUGGAAGUUGGUACCUGUUUGUUUGAUAAAGCAGAUAGAGUGUGUAUGUCACAAUCUGAUUUUUUAUUUCCUGCAGCUGAAUAAUAAUAUGAAAUUGUCGGGAAAAAAUAUCCAUGGUAGAGCGGUGUAGUUUAAGUCUAAAGAUCUCUACCAAAAAGGAAUGAAAAGGCCUUGCAGAGUGCUUCUAUACUAAAUGGGCUCAAACUUAAACCAAGGAGCUCUUUAUCAGCGUAUCCCAAACGGCCCAUCCAAAAAAUCCGAAUUACCCGCGCCGACUAAUACUCUUAUAAACCCUACACAACCUAGGAUCAUACACUUCCAGAUUGACCCUUGCUUCUCCCCUUUCUCCACUUUCGUAGCUACUCAUCUCCGCAACCAUGACGAAGACGGACAUGACGAAGAAGACAUCGGCCAAACUGAAGAAGAACAAGCACUACAGACCUGCUGUAAGUUGGCUACAAAAUAUCUUACUUGUCAUCGUUUCCCCGAGCAAGUUACUUACUGCUUCGUUUGUUUACAGGGGAAGAAGAAGGAAGGGAACGCUGCCCGGUACAUGACCCGGUCACAGGCUAUCAAGCAGCUCCAAGUUAAUCUCAGCGUCUUCAGGUACGUACUGCUCCCUGUCUGCGCUGUCAUUUGGAAUGUGUAGUGUCUUUGUAUUGUUCGUGGUUGGUUUUGAGUGGGAGGAUGACUAGGGAACGGUUAGCUGCUUGAAACUUGCAGUUGCAGUAUUUCCCAGCUGAGUUGCUCGACCUCUUUUUUUCUACUCGCAAUAUGAGAGAGGAUGCAGCAAUGAUGAUACUGUCUUGUACUCGUUGUCAUUGAGUUCUCGAAACGAUGAUUGUACAACUUCAAGCACUUUUUGAGCUGCAAUCCAUCUCUCAACGCCACACAUGCAUACUGCAUGCUAGUAUCGAUGGUUUAAUCAUUGAGUGAAGAGAAAGUCAGAUUACUCUUUCGAGGAAAAGGACUAUAAAAUGUUUAUCUAUAAUGACCAUUUUUUAGAUCAGUUGCUAGUCACGGUCUUUAAUGCAACCCUGAAACAUACAGGUUCCUUGGUCAACUUUUUAUGGGUGGAACUUAGGUAUAUAAUAUCUGUAUUCUAUUUCAAAAUCGAGCUUGACCUGUAGGCAGAAUGUGUGUUGUUAUGAAUAUCACGUUAUAGUAUAAUGGAAGAAUAAUUCCAUCAUAAUGCAAUUUUUAUCUGAUGUUUCUUUCUGGAAACAAAUUUGAAAUGCCUUGCUUGAGUUCCAAGCUCAACUAAUUGGUCAUGACUCAUGAGCAAAUGUAGAUGGAGCCUCUUUGUAGUGUUGUGCACAGAGUAUCUUGUUAUGUGUCUGUUCAUAGUUGCAAUGGACGAUCUCAGCUAGUGCUUAUAUUAUACUGUUUUACUAAGCGUUUAUGACUCCAGGUAAAGAUAUCUCUGGUAUUCAGAUUAGAGUGCUUACCUUUAUCUUUUAUUGUUCUUGAUUUAUAGGCAGCUGUGCAUUCUCAAAGGUGUGUUCCCUAGAGAACCGAAGAAGAAGGUUAGAGGGAAUAACCAAACGUACUACCAUGUCAAGGAUAUAAAUUUCAUCCAACAUGAACCCUUACUUGAGAAGUUGAGGGAAAAGAGGGCAUACGAAAGGAAAAUACAGAAGGCUUUGGCUAAGAAGAACGAAGAUCUAGCAACUCGUCUUCGAACUCGAGAGCCAACUUACACAUUGGACAAGCUCAUUCUAGAAAGGUUUGUUAAGCCCAUUCAUUUAUUAGAUUCCCUUUGAAAUGUUUGUUAAGCCCAUUCAUUUAUUAGAUUCCCUUUGAAACGUCUGAUAGAUAUAUUGAAAUUCACUGCAAGAUUAGUGUUUUCCUGGGGAUUCGUAGUCUGUCUAGAACAUUUUUUGUGAUAAAUUUGGCAAAACACCUAUUUAUGGUGAGAAUGUCUUGUGAUUCUGGUCAUUUAUAUUGCUUAUUAUAUUUCAUUUUUGGAUAAAAAAGUCCUAAGAGCACUUCUUCAUUCUCGGAAAUGUAGGUACCCAAAAUUUGUUGAUUCCCUCAGAGACUUGGAUGAUUGUCUUUCUAUGGUGCACCUGUUUGCAGCAUUACCUGCUGUAGAGAGGUUAAAAAUUGAUGUGGUGCGGGUUCACAGUUGUCGAAGGUAGUACACUUUAUUGUAUAAGUAUUGGUGAAAAGUUGUGUAAGCGAAAAUUGGAAUUUGGAUUUUUCAUAUUGAUUUUCAAUUGUUUCUGUAUCCUACUUUUGUUAGGUUGACUCAUGAGUGGCAAGCUUAUGUUGCUCGCUGUCAUAAAUUGCGAAAGGUUUUUGUAUCAGUAAAAGGCAUAUAUUAUCAGGUAAGAAACAUCAAGACCCCAGUCUAACUGAUGAAUACUGAUAUAAUUUAACUUUUUUGAUUAAUUAUUUUUACUAACAGCACAUCACCUUUAGAUUAUCUGUUAUAUUAUUCACAUUGUAGGCUGAGGUUGAAGGUCAGAAAAUUACAUGGCUGACCCUGCAUGCAAUGCAACAAGUUCUGCCUGAUGGUGUUAACUUCAGUGUUAUGCUGACGUUUUUGGAGUUCUAUGAGGUAAAUUCUGAUGCUCAGUUAACUUAUUUUCUGGCUAUAUAAUGUUCUUGGCUAUUUAGUAUUUACACGGUUGUAAUUUGGUUGCAGACCCUACUUGGCUUUGUUAAUUUUAAGCUCUACCAUUCCAUCAAUAUCAAGUAUCCACCAAUUCUUGAUACCAGACUAGAAGCUCUAGCAGCAGGUAUGUUCUUAUGUACACAUUUAUCUAGUUGGGAAGCAUUAUACAUUUUUUUAUGGCUGGAAAGUAUUAUACCUGCUUAAUUUCUUAACAUGCUUGUGCAUUCUACUUGAUUCUGCAGAUCUGUAUGCUCUCACACGGUAUAUUAAUAGAAACUCUAAGCAUGUUAUUGAAGAGCACAAAGAUUCUGAUUCCUCUAAAAUAGAGCCAACUGAAGGCCGAAAAGAGGGUACUCAAUUUGAAGAGUCUGAGUUAAGACUUUCGCAACUUCACCAUCAACUCCCAUCAAAUGAACCUGGAGCAUUGAUGCACCUCAUUGAAGAAGACACCGAAUAUGAUGAUGAUGAUCCAGAUACAAAGGAGUGUAGGAAGCUGUUCAAGAAUAUGAAGUUCUAUCUAAGCCGUGAGGUAGGUGACUGCUCAUUUCCUUGGCAAGUUAUUUGUGGGACUUCAGAUUAUCUGCUAUCAUCUAUAGAACCAGUUGUUCUGUCCAUUAUAUUGAUGUUGGUUUGCUGCAAGAUCACUCUGGUUAAUUAAGAUUUAUAAUUUUGCAACAUCCAAAUUGUGCUGCCGCUAUGCUGUCUGCUUGUUUGUCAACAUAAUCUUAAGUUUUUUUCGCUACACUGCUAAUCUAUCUUCCUAUCUGCGGUUUUAUUUGCUUGUGGAAAUAGUUCAUUAUUUCUUUGAAUACUGCAAAAGAAUCACAUCUGAUGAUAUAUCAUGUUCCUCUUGUUAUAACGGUGUUCUUUUGCUAUAGGGUAAUGAUGUUCUUUUGCUAACGGUAUUCCAUUUGCGGCCGUGCCCAAGUUUUUGGGUAUCUGGCAACUUUUGGUUUAGAGGCUCUGAGUGGCCCUGCCAAUGCCUUCCUGAAUGCUCUCAUAUACGUUGAGUCUUAAUUUUAAGUUGCUAUAACAGUAGCGGUAACGAAAACAAAUUGUUUGUGGUUCAGGUUCCUCGGGAGUCUUUGCUUUUUGUCAUUCCUGCUUUUGGUGGUGUUGUUUCAUGGGAAGGGGACGGAGCUCCGUUCACUAAAGACGACCAAAGCAUUACACAUCAGGUAGCCAUCUCUGAAAUUAUUUUACCCAUGCACAACACGGUGUAUGCCCUUGGGAUCCCACUUUAUGUGGUGAAUUUUGAUUCUAUGAUUGAAAGUUGAUUAUUUGUUGAUGUUUUCAGAUCGUGGAUAGGCCAACUCAAGAUCACAAGUUUUUCUCCCGGGAAUAUAUUCAACCUCAGUGGGUUUAUGAUUGUGUAAAUGCUAGGAUCAUACUACCAACUGAUAUCUACAUGGUGGGAAGGUGAUUUUCAUGUUGGGAAUUGAUUUCCAAACUCCCUUGAUUCAUGGCCUCUCUAUUGAGAGAAAAACACGACUGAUUCAUAAUAUGACUUUUUAUUUUGAUGCUUGUUCUGUUGGCAUCCUUCAAUGAUUGCACUCAUGUAACUGAAACUUGUGUUCGAGUUAGCAGUGGCAGUUAAUAGUUUGCCUUUAGAAUCUAACACGUGGCUUUCUUACUGUUGUCCUGCCAAUAGGGUUCCUCCUCCGCAUCUGUCUCCUUUUGUCGAUAACGAAGUGGAAGGGUAUAUCCCUGAUUACGCGGAGACCAUCAAACGUUUACAGGCUGCCGCCAAGAAUGAAGUCCUCCCCAUGCCAGGUGUGGGUAAGGAUGACUUAGAGGAUCCUCAGAUGUUGUUAGCUGAAGGAUAUCUUAGUCGAACCGAGGCUAUUGAAUCUGCCGAGAGAAAAGAAAAGGUGAAAAGUAAAAAUAAAAAUAAAAAUUGGUUAAUGUUUAAUUUGGCUGGGUUCCGCCUGUUACUUGACAUUUGCCUUUACUGCGUUUUGUAUGGUGGCAGUUGGCAACCUUGGAGAAGCAAUAUCAUGAAGAGCUUAAGAUUGAACUACAAGGCAGAUCUCUUUCGAAGAAAACUGAGGACAGCUCUGUUGAGGGCACCGAGGCCAAAGUAGAGUCUUGUCCUACCAUUGAACAGAUUGCUAAAGACACUGAUACCAUGUCGGAUAUGAUGAUGUCAAGAAAGAAAAGAGGCCUUUCUAAAGCAAUAGAGGUAACUUUAGGCAUUUCUUUUGGUUAGGAGAAAAACAUAUGUUUGUGGAUCAUUUGUGUUUUGUUUUGUUGCUUAGGCAAGAUUUAGUCUUUGAUUAAGGGGUUACAGAAUGCGUUGUGACGUGUGAUUUGCUUCUAUUCAGAUUGGUGAAGAACGGAAGAAAGCGAAAGUCAAUAAGCUCAAGGAGCGGAAGAAGAAACUGGCUGAGAGUUCUUCCUAGUCAAGAUUUUACAUGUUUGUGGAUCAUUUGUGUUUUGUUUUGUUGCUUAGGCAAGAUUUAGUCUUUGAUUAAGGGGUUACAGAAUGCGUUGUGACGUGUGAUUUGCUUCUAUUCAGAUUGGUGAAGAACGGAAGAAAGUCAAAGUCAAUAAGCUCAAGGAACGGAAGAAGAAACUGGCUGAGAGUUCUUCCUAGUCCAGAUUUUACAUGGUGAAGCUGUCAUUCUGCUCUAGUAUUGGUUAUCUGUCAAGUCUUGGUUUCCUCCUGGCUCAAAUUUUGUCUACAGUUGAACCAUUUUGACAGUUGAUGUUGUGCGAAAUACUGUAUGUUACUGUUUUUAUGAAAAAUAGAGCCUUGAACGACACACAUACCAUUUUUCAUGAAGGCCUUUUUUAGCCUGUCGCGUCAAAGUUUUGAUGGGCCUAACGCUCAUCGGGUG
Molecule: long non-coding RNA, 32390 nt
Filed under: Linum usitatissimum (flax)
Lineage: Eukaryota; Viridiplantae; Streptophyta; Magnoliopsida; Malpighiales; Linaceae
Description: long non-coding RNA (LUSI_LNC007042)
Source: RNAcentral